This 198-nucleotide ribosomal RNA is filed under the name uncultured bacterium. RNAcentral describes it as "partial 16S ribosomal RNA". It matches the Rfam family "Bacterial small subunit ribosomal RNA", at positions 328 to 539 of the family's 1533-position model. The record is from RNAcentral.
ACGCUCGACACCUACGGGGGCAGCAGUUGGGAAUAUUGGACAAUGGAGGAAACUCUGAUCCAGUGACGCCGCGUGAAGGAAGAAGGUCUUCGGAUUGUAAACUUAUUUUGUCAGGGAAGAAAAAAUGACUGUACCUGAAGAAAAAGCACCGGCUAACUACGUGCAGCAGCCGCGGUAAUCUGAGCGGGCUGGCAAGGC